CAGUCGCCGCGGGAAUACGGAGGGUGCAAGCGUUAAUCGGAAUUACUGGGCGUAAAGCGCACGCAGGCGGUUUGUUAAGUCAGAUGUGAAAUCCCCGAGCUUAACUUGGGAACUGCAUUUGAAACUGGCAAGCCAGAGUCUUGUAGAGGGGGGUAGAAUUCCAGGUGUAGCGGUGAAAUGCGUAGAGAUCUGGAGGAAUACCGGUGGCGAAGGCGGCCCCCUGGACAAAGACUGACGCUCAGGUGCGAAAGCGUGGGGAGCAAACAGGAUUAGAGACCCCUGUAGUCCCUGUCUCUUAUAC
RNAcentral lists this ribosomal RNA (301 nucleotides) under uncultured bacterium. RNAcentral's name for it is "partial 16S ribosomal RNA". It matches the Rfam family "Bacterial small subunit ribosomal RNA", at positions 509 to 807 of the family's 1533-position model. The record is from RNAcentral.